Triticum aestivum (bread wheat) is the source of this 135-nucleotide non-coding RNA. The record is from Rfam. NCBI's taxonomy places the organism in Eukaryota, Viridiplantae, Streptophyta, Magnoliopsida, Poales, Poaceae.
UUUCUACAACCUCCGCCCAGAAUUAGGUGACUCAGAUUUGUCUAGAUACAGAUGUAUCUAGACACAUUUUAGCGUUAGAUACAUCUGUAUCUAGACGAAUCUAGGUCAACUAAUUUGGGACGGAGGGAGUAUUUU